Oxyura jamaicensis (ruddy duck) is the source of this 2324-nucleotide long non-coding RNA. RefSeq lists it as uncharacterized. The transcript has 2 exons. Lineage: Eukaryota; Metazoa; Chordata; Aves; Anseriformes; Anatidae. The record is from RefSeq and is a predicted model, not a curated record.
UGGUUGGCUGCAGGUGGGUUGUUGGGGCCAGAGUCAUCCAGAGAUGCCUGUGGUUCAGAUGGUACCAGCAGAGGGGUGGCGAUGACGUCUCUCUCCCGUUCCUUAUCAAUAGCACAAGCCCUGCCGAGGAGCUGUUAGUGUCCCCCGAUGGGAAGCGUGCCUUCUGGGGGAGCGGCUGGGUUUCCCCCGCAGAGCAGGACAUCUCCAGCCGUGCAGCAGAUCUGCCCGGCUCUUAGGCACUCGUGGGGAACCGAGGCAGAGGUGAGCACAAAUGGGGAUGGAGAGCAAGGCAGGGCAGGCCGAGCUCAGUGGUAAAUCCAUCCCCUGAAGCUGCAGUGCAAACAGGAAAUGAUCUCUUAACGCUGUGCACCUGCAUCUCCAGGAAUAACAUCCAAAAGGGGCCCAAGCCCGCAGCAGGGUCCAGAGGAAUGGUGCUCUCGAGUCCAACGGCAGGGAUAUUUAAGACUCCUUGGCCAGCUCCAGUCCUCGCUCAGCUUCUGGUUCCUGCCUUGCGCCUCUGCCAGAUGCGCGCUCCCUUUCCCUCUCCUGCAAUAAAGGAUUUCCGUGCUGCAGAAAAGCACCGAGGUGGCGGUGCUGGGGGCUGGAGGUGCCUGGCUGCCCGGCACGGCACCACCAGCAUGUUUUGUGCAAGGCUGGUGUGAGGGGACAGCGAUGCUGCUGGGGGCUUUCAGCAGCUGGGCCUGACCUGGAACCAUCAGCACGGUGAGCUCACAGCUCCCGGCUAUCCCCUGCCAAAGCUCCUCAUUGGAAAUAAAAAAUGUGCACAUGGAUGAAAAUGUGCUUAUCCCGAGGCUGGGACGGCUGCGCCCAGCCCCACGUGGAGCCGCCCCGGCUUAGCCAGACGCCAUCGGCUGGGAUGGGAAUGUCAACGGGACCGAAACCAGAGGGACAGAUCUCCUGCCCGGCCAGGAAUCCAGUCGGGCUGCUGCGAGGCGGGUGGGUGUCAGCACCCACGCAUUAUGUGCAGGCGAGGCUGUGGCCCGGCCGUGGUGCCUCCGGAAGCACAGGUCCUACCAGCUCUGCUGGCUCUUCCAUUCGGGAGUGACAUGAUUAAAGUGUCUUUAAAGACCCAGUGCUGAGGGUUUCCCCUGACCUCGGAGGAUCUGAUGGCACUUGAAAGGCUGGGAAGCUGCAGCUGACCUCACAGCGGAAGGAAGGUGAUUCCUCGUCAGCCAGACCGGCUGGUUCAGAGACGAGUGCACUCCCCUGUAAUCAUUGCUUUGCCAGGAGCUUCACCUUUCCUUUGUCGUGCAGGCAGUGUCCGCACAAAGCAGAGUCUGGCCUCCAGAGGGAUGGGGAGCACUCUGGUGUUGCAGCCACUUCCAAGCCAGAGUCCUCCCCAGAGCUGUGAGAGCGGGGCCGGGCGGCGUUCCCAAAGCCCCUGCGCUCGCCCUACAGAUGUGGGGGAAGAGAGGGGGCAGAGCGCCUCUGGCAGUGGAGACCUAAAGCUUGGAAAAGCCUGAAAGAAAUUGCCUGCAGCUGCUUCUGCAGCAGGCUAAAAUGUGAGGCAUGACAGUACUUCUCGGAUCGCAGGGGGGUGGGAGAGGUGUCUUCGGGAGGCUUGCUUCCCCUGUCCCACGGGGGUGUCUAACAGGGUGACUGUGGGGUUUAGCUCCGUGAUGGGGGAUUAGGCGUUCCUCAGCAAAGACGGUUUCACAUUCUUUCACCCUGAUUUACCACUUGGUGCUCUCCUUCCCCGAACAGAAAUCGUCUCGCUCAGCCCCCUUCCAGUUACGGCGUUACAGGGGUUUACAGCCCAGCGUCCUUUUCUAGUGUAUUUGCCUUGAUUUAAUGCUUUGAUUUGAAAGUUAUUUUUUACAAUAAGAGAAAGAUGGUCCAUGCCAAAAAAAGCAGUUUCAUAAAAUGCUGAACAUGACUUGCAUUCUGUAAUUGCAAACCUGAGAGACUUGGAGUAAUUGACAUUUUGGAUGUAUUGCAGAGUAUCGUAUUUAAUCUUGAAAAGCAGGUUCCAGGCAAAGGAGGGAACUGCCAAACCAAACUCAGACUCCUCGCCGGGUUCCUACCAUAACUCAUUUUCAAAUCCAUUCAGCACAGUCCUGAACCCAAAUGUUUACGUUUUUGAUUUGCUAAGAUAAUAUUCCUGGGUCACCGAAACUGUUUGUCAGGGAGCGUCUCGAAGAGACAGCCGGACCCGGGGAUGCGCCGGCUCAAAUCUCGUCGGCGUGCGAGGGCCCUGGCGCUUUCUGGCUCUCCGAUGAGAUCCUGGAGAAUCGCAUCUGUCUCCCAGGAAUGCAGUUCCCCUGCUGCAUGGGAUGACAGCGAUAUCUCGCCUUGUUGUCCAC